CAAUAGCGUAUAUUUAAGUUGUUGCAGUUAAAAAGCUCGUAGUUGGAUUUCGGAUGGGACUUGCCGGUCCGUCGUUUCGAUGUGCACUGGCCAGUCCUAUCUUGUUGUCGGGGACUAGCUCCUGGGCUUCACUGUCCGGGACUAGGAGCUGACGAGGUUACUUUGAGUAAAUUAGAGUGUUCAAAGCAAGCCUACGCUCUGAAUACAUUAGCAUGGAAUAACACGAUAGGACUCUGGCUUAUCUUGUUGGUCUGUGAGACCAGAGUAAUGAUUAAGAGGGACAGUCGGGGGCAUUCGUAUUUCAUUGUCAGAGGUGAAAUUCUUGGAUUUAUGAAAGACGAACUUCUGCGAAAGCAUCUGUCAAGGAUGUUUUCAUUAA
RNAcentral lists this ribosomal RNA (379 nucleotides) under uncultured eukaryote. RNAcentral's name for it is "partial 18S ribosomal RNA". It matches the Rfam family "Eukaryotic small subunit ribosomal RNA", at positions 592 to 976 of the family's 1831-position model. The record is from RNAcentral.